RNAcentral lists this ribosomal RNA (497 nucleotides) under uncultured bacterium. Its description in RNAcentral is "partial 16S ribosomal RNA". It matches the Rfam family "Bacterial small subunit ribosomal RNA", at positions 28 to 507 of the family's 1533-position model. The record is from RNAcentral.
GAUGAACGCUGGCGGCGUGCCUAAUACAUGCAAGUCGAGCGAACAGAUGAGGAGCUUGCUCCUCUGACGUUAGCGGCGGACGGGUGAGUAACACGUGGAUAACCUACCUAUAAGACUGGGAUAACUUCGGGAAACCGGAGCUAAUACCGGAUAAUAUAUUGAACCGCAUGGUUCAAUAGUGAAAGACGGUUUUGCUGUCACUUAUAGAUGGAUCCGCGCCGCAUUAGCUAGUUGGUAAGGUAACGGCUUACCAAGGCAACGAUGCGUAGCCGACCUGAGAGGGUGUUCGGCCACACUGGAACUGAGACACGGUCCAGACUCCUACGGGAGGCAGCAGUAGGGAAUCUUCCGCAAUGGGCGAAAGCCUGCAGGAGCAACGCCGCGUGAGUGAUGAAGGUCUUCGGAUCGUAAAACUCUGUUAUUAGGGAAGAACAAAUGUGUAAGUAACUAUGCACGUCUUGACGGUACCUAAUCAGAAAGCCACGGCUAACUACGUG